UACAGAGGGUGCGAGCGUUAAUCGGAUUAACUGGGCGUAAAGGGCGCGUAGGCGGUUAGACGGGUGUGAUGUGAAAGCCCCGGGUUUAACCUGGGAAGUGCAUCGCAAACUGGCUAACUGGAGUAGAUGAGAGGGUGGCGGAAUUUCCGGUGUAGCGGUGUAAUGCGUAGAGAUCGGAAGGAACGUCAAUGGCGAAGGCAGCCACCUGGCAUCAUACUGACGCUGAGGCGCAAAAGCGUGGGGAGCGAACAGG
Molecule: ribosomal RNA, 253 nt
Filed under: uncultured bacterium
Lineage: Bacteria
Description: partial 16S ribosomal RNA
Rfam family: Bacterial small subunit ribosomal RNA
Source: RNAcentral